UGCAGAUGAUGUAAAGAAUAUUUGCUAUCUUAAGAACAUUGAAGACAACUUUUAAUCACCAAGAUCGCUGAUGCA
This is a small nucleolar RNA of Trematomus bernacchii (emerald rockcod), 75 nucleotides long. RefSeq annotates it as small nucleolar RNA SNORD24. The record is from RefSeq and is a predicted model, not a curated record. The transcript has a single exon. Lineage: Eukaryota; Metazoa; Chordata; Actinopteri; Perciformes; Nototheniidae.